CAUUCUAGGUUUAACGCCUGCAAUGCAGGCCUUUGGGAAG
This 40-nucleotide non-coding RNA is filed under the name Proteus mirabilis HI4320. The record is from RNAcentral. Lineage: Bacteria; Pseudomonadati; Pseudomonadota; Gammaproteobacteria; Enterobacterales; Morganellaceae.